AUACGGAGGACGCGAGCGUUAUCCGGAUUCAUUGGGUUUAAAGGGUGCGCAGGCGGCCGUGCAAGUCAGCGGUGAAAGCCCGGGGCUCAACCCCGGAAGUGCCGUUGAUACUGCAUGGCUGGAAUGCGGUCGAGGCGGGCGGAACGUGGCGUGUAGCGGGGAAAUGCGUAGAUAUGCCACAGAACGCCGAUAGCGGAGGCAGCUCGCCAGGCCUGCAUUGACGCUCGGGCACGAAAGCGUGGGGAUCGAACAGGAUUAGAUACCCUGGUAGUCCACGCCGUAAACGAUGGGCGCUCGUCGUCGGCGGCAGACAGUCGGCGGCCAAGCGAAAGCGAUAAGCGCCCCACCUGGGGAGUACGGUCGCAAGGCUGAAACUUAAAGGAAUUGACGGGG
This 393-nucleotide ribosomal RNA is filed under the name uncultured bacterium. Its description in RNAcentral is "partial 16S ribosomal RNA". It matches the Rfam family "Bacterial small subunit ribosomal RNA", at positions 523 to 918 of the family's 1533-position model. The record is from RNAcentral.